UACAGAGGUCCCAAGCGUUGUUCGGAUUCACUGGGCGUAAAGGGUGCGUAGGUGGUGAGGUAAGUCGGAUGUGAAAUCUCCGGGCUCAACCCGGAAAUGGCAUUGGAAACUACCUUGCUGGAGGGUUUGAGGGGGGAGUGGAAUACUUGGUGUAGCAGUGAAAUGCGUAGAUAUCAAGUGGAACACCAGUGGCGAAGGCGAAUCCCUGGAAAAUACCUGACACUGAGGCGCGAAAGCUAGGGGAGCAAACAGG
This 253-nucleotide ribosomal RNA is filed under the name uncultured bacterium. RNAcentral's name for it is "partial 16S ribosomal RNA". It matches the Rfam family "Bacterial small subunit ribosomal RNA", at positions 524 to 776 of the family's 1533-position model. The record is from RNAcentral.